UACGUAGGGUGCAAGCGUUGUCCGGAAUUAUUGGGCGUAAAGAGCUCGUAGGCGGUCUGUCGCGUCUGCUGUGAAAUCCCGAGGCUCAACCUCGGGUCUGCAGUGGGUACGGGCAGACUGGAGUGCGGUAGGGGAGAAUGGAAUUCCUGGUGUAGCGGUGGAAUGCGCAGAUAUCAGGAGGAACACCGAUGGCGAAGGCAGUUCUCUGGGCCGUAACUGACGCUGAGGAGCGAAAGCGUGGGGAGCGAACAGG
Molecule: ribosomal RNA, 253 nt
Filed under: uncultured bacterium
Lineage: Bacteria
Description: partial 16S ribosomal RNA
Rfam family: Bacterial small subunit ribosomal RNA
Source: RNAcentral